UACGUAGGGGGCGAGCGUUGUCCGGAUUUAUUGGGCGUAAAGAGCUCGUAGGCGGUUCGAUAAGUCGGACGUGAAAUCUCCACGCUCAACGUGGAGGGGCCGUUCGAUACUGUCGUGACUCGAGUCCGGUAGGGGAGUGUGGAAUUCCCGGUGUAGCGGUGAAAUGCGCAGAUAUCAGGAGGAACACCAAUGGCGAAGGCAGCACUCUGGGACGUGACUGACGCUGAGGCGCGAAAGCGUGGGGAGCAAACAGG
Molecule: ribosomal RNA, 254 nt
Filed under: uncultured bacterium
Lineage: Bacteria
Description: partial 16S ribosomal RNA
Rfam family: Bacterial small subunit ribosomal RNA
Source: RNAcentral